UGAAGAAAAAGCAUCGGCUAACUCCGUGCCAGCAGCCGCGGUAAUACGGAGGAUGCAAGCGUUAUCCGGAAUCAUUGGGCGUAAAGGGUCCGCAGGUGGCGAAUAAAGUCUGCUGUUAAAGACCGGGGCUAAACUCCGGAAAGGCAGUGGAAACUGAUUAGCUAGAGUACGGUAGGGGUAGAGGGAAUUCCCAGUGUAGCGGUGAAAUGCGUAGAUAUUGGGAAGAACACCGGUGGCGAAAGCGCUCUACUAGGCCGAAACUGACACUGAGGGACGAAAGCUAGGGUAGCGAAAGGGAUUAGAUACCCCUGUAGUCUUAGCGGUAAACGAUGGAAACUAGGUGUAGCUUGUAUCGACCCGAGCUGUGCCGAAGCUAACGCGAUAAGUAUCCCGCCUGGGGAGUACGCACGCAAGUGUGAAACUCAAAGGAAUUGACGGGGGCCCGCACAAGCGGUGGAGUAUGUGGUUUAAUUCGAUGCAACGCGAAGAACCUUACCAGGGCUUGACAUGUCGCGAAUCUAGCGGAAACGUUAGAGUGCCUUAGGGAAUGCGAACACAGGUGGUGCAUGGCUGUCGUCAGCUCGUGUCGUGAGAUGUUGGGUUAAGUCCCGCAACGAGCGCAACCCUCGUCCUUAGUUGCCAAUAUUAAGUUAGGCACUCUAGGGAGACUGCCGGGGACAACUCGGAGGAAGGUGGGGAUGACGUCAAGUCAGCAUGCCCCUUACGUCCUGGGCGACACACGUACUACAAUGGUUGGGACAAAGGGCAGCAAACUCGCGAGAGUAAGCGAAUCUCAUCAAACCCAGCCACAGUUCAGAUUGCAGGCUGCAACUCGCCUGCAUGAAGUAGGAAUCGCUAGUAAUCGCAGGUCAGCAUACUGCGGUGAAUUCGUUCCCGGGCCUUGUACACACCGCCCGUCACACCAUGGAAGCUGGCUACGCCCGAAGUCGUUACCCUAACCCGGUUUUGGGAGGGGGAUGCCGAAGGUAGAGCUAGUGACUGGGGUGAAGUCGUAACAAGGUAGCCGUACCGGAAGGUGUGGCUGGAUCACCUCCUUU
This 1058-nucleotide ribosomal RNA is filed under the name uncultured cyanobacterium. RNAcentral's name for it is "bacterial SSU rRNA". It matches the Rfam family "Bacterial small subunit ribosomal RNA", at positions 480 to 1533 of the family's 1533-position model. The record is from RNAcentral. Lineage: Bacteria; Bacillati; Cyanobacteriota.